AUGACUGCAACGUAGGGCUUUUAUACUCGUCAUUGGACUAAUCGAAUACGGGAAUCACUAUGAACGAACGUCAAGGCAGUCACGAAGGAAUCACGGAGGCAAAAAGGAAAUCGGAAGCAUAAUUGAUUUGGGAUGGAAAAGGGUCGAUCCUCGUCUGAUCGGGGAAAGAAAUCGGCAUCGAUUUCGACUGAUUGAGAAGACGAUCGAACGGGAUCGUCAUAGAAACGAGGGAGGGGAAAGCUGGAAUGAACGAAGCAGCGGGGGAAGACGCUUACAAUGAUAGCGGCACUUCGUUGGUCGAUUAAUCGCGAAGAGGCCAAAGGGGAGAAACAGCGAACCUGUGGUAGUCUUCGGUGGGUGCAACGAGGAGCUGCUCAAGCAACUUCUCGGCUGCUUUCUUCGAUUCCAGCAGUGGUGUGCGAAGGCAAGAUGCGUGCGUGAGGUACGAGAGGCGGAGCCAGACGGGGAUUUCCAGGGAUUGUCGAACUUCGGUGUCUCCCUUCCACUGUUUGCUCGAUGAAGAAUGAUUGGUUGUUGAAUCUUGAUAGCAAGAGAUUGAGAAGGAAGAAGACAGGGGAAGAACAAGAAUUCAAUGGGUGUUUAGAUUGUUUCAUUUGACGGGGGAAAAUGAGGCAUUUGUUCUUGAUUGUUCUUGGCAGUAAUUUCGAAGAAGAAGAGAAGAGAAAACAAUUUCUUUUUGUUUAUGAUGUUUGAUCUUGGUUGAAUACGACGAAGCAGACAGAAAAAGAAAUAUGGAGGUGUUUGCGUGUUGAUUUUUUUAAUAAUUGUAUAUUGUUUGAGUGUUCAUUUUAACAUUGCACAAAACUUAACAUUGCAUAUGUUUUGUUUGAGUGUGGUUUUGGUUUGUAAGAACUAAUGGCUGUUAAAUUCUUUGUAUAGUUUAAAAUAAUGAAUUUGGUAGC
Molecule: non-coding RNA, 923 nt
Organism: Lactuca sativa (garden lettuce)
Lineage: Eukaryota; Viridiplantae; Streptophyta; Magnoliopsida; Asterales; Asteraceae
Source: RefSeq, a predicted model, not a curated record